RNAcentral lists this ribosomal RNA (369 nucleotides) under uncultured bacterium. Its description in RNAcentral is "bacterial SSU rRNA". It matches the Rfam family "Bacterial small subunit ribosomal RNA", at positions 527 to 896 of the family's 1533-position model. The record is from RNAcentral.
GUAGGCAGCAAGCGUUGUUCGGAAUUACUGGGCGUAAAGAGUGUGUAGGCGGUGUUCUAAGUCUGUCGUGAAAUCUCCCGGCUUAACUGGGAGGGUGCGGCGGAAACCGGAAUGCUAGAGGGUGGGAGAGGAAAGCGGAAUUCCUGGUGUAGCGGUGAAAUGCGUAGAUAUCAGGAGGAACACCUGCGGUGUAGACAGCUUUCUGGACCACUUCUGACGCUGAGACACGAAAGCGUGGGUAGCAAACAGGAUUAGAUACCCUGGUAGUCCACGCCCUAAACGAUGCAUACUUGGUGUGAGCGAUUCAUUUCGUUCGUGCCGGAGCUAACGCGUUAAGUAUGCCGCCUGGGGAGUACGGUCGCAAGGCUG